AAUGAACGCUGGCGGCAGGCCUAACACAUGCAAGUCGAACGGAUCCUUCGGGAUUAGUGGCGGACGGGUGAGUAACGCGUGGGAACAUACCCAAAGGUACGGAAUAGCCUCGGGAAACUGGGAGUAAUACCGUAUGUGCUCGAAAGAGGAAAGAUUUAUCUCCUUUGGAUUGGCCGGCGUUGGAUUAGGUAGAUGGUGGGGUAUUGGCCUACCAAGCCGACGUUCCAUAGCUGGUUUGAGAGGAUGAUCAGCCACACUGGGACUGAGACACGGCCCAGACUCCUACAGGGGGCAGCAGUGGGGAAUCUUAGACAAUGAGGGAAACCCUGGUCUAGCCAUGCCGCGUGAUCGAUGAAGGCCUUAGGGUUGUAAAGAUCUUUCAGGUGGGAAGAUAAUGACUGUACCACCAGAAGAAGCCCCGGCUAACUCCGUGCCAGCCGCCGCCGUAA
RNAcentral lists this ribosomal RNA (449 nucleotides) under uncultured bacterium. RNAcentral describes it as "partial 16S ribosomal RNA". It matches the Rfam family "Bacterial small subunit ribosomal RNA", at positions 29 to 523 of the family's 1533-position model. The record is from RNAcentral.